AGAGUUAACACCCAAGAAUAUGCUACUUGCACUAAAGAAAUAGGCUGCAGGAAACUACAUAGAACAAAGACAUCAAAAAAGACAAUUGCAGUCAAGUUCCUUGUAGGAUAAUUGAGCAUUUGUCGGAGGACGGAAUUAUACGUUAAUGCUAGAAAAAUAAAGAAAUUAGUAAAAGUAAUUCCUGACCAUCUUGUUUGGCACUUUCUAAUUAAGAGGAUUUACUAGGAGAUUUCCUCUAGAAUCGAGAUUCUUAACUAAUAUUGACACUCCCAUAAUGAAGUUGACUAAGUAACUAAACUAUAUGGUCAGGAAGCACAAGCUUAAUGUACUUGUCUAAUUUCAAUAUAUAUAUAUAUAUAUCUUUCAUGCGAAAGUUGACCAACUUCUUGAUCAAUUGUUUUUGCUCACCAUCCAAGCCCCCCAUAUAGCCGAUACCGCUAGAGAAGAGCAAGAAUCAUACUUUUUCUACUUCGCUUGCCGGACAGGAAUUCUUUGAUUCAAGAUCCCCUUGCCUUUCGCCCUGCCCUGAAACUGGAGUUCAAGUAAUCAUCUACCUCUCUGGCAGCCAAAAAAGAAGAGACAUGAAUUCAUUGAACGAAAGAUUUAUCGCAAGUAAUUAAAAUUAGGUCGUACCUUAUUCUAUUCCCCCUAUCUUUAGUCAGGAAUAAUGGUCCGAUAAGAUGAACAACCCCAAUGCUGUAUUCCUAGUAUGUUUUAUCUGUUAACAACAGGCAACCAAGGGUUGAUAUAUAUAUAUAUAUAUGUACAUCCCAUCUAACUAAAACCAUUAAUCC
This 794-nucleotide long non-coding RNA is filed under the name Ricinus communis (castor bean). RNAcentral describes it as "long non-coding RNA (RCOM_LNC000839)". Lineage: Eukaryota; Viridiplantae; Streptophyta; Magnoliopsida; Malpighiales; Euphorbiaceae. The record is from RNAcentral.